This 253-nucleotide ribosomal RNA is filed under the name uncultured bacterium. RNAcentral describes it as "partial 16S ribosomal RNA". It matches the Rfam family "Bacterial small subunit ribosomal RNA", at positions 524 to 776 of the family's 1533-position model. The record is from RNAcentral.
GACAGAGGGUGCGAACGUUGCUCGGAAUGACUGGGCGUAAAGCGCGUGCAGGCGGCUCUGCAAGUCCGAUGUGAAAGCCCAGGGCUCAACCCUGGAAGUGCAUUGGAAACUACGGAGCUCGAGCCCUGGAGAGGAGAGCGGAAUUCCCGGUGUAGAGGUGAAAUUCGUAGAUAUCGGGAGGAACACCAGUGGCGAAGGCGGCUCUCUGGACAGGUACUGACGCUGAGACGCGAAAGCGUGGGUAGCAAACAGG